Molecule: ribosomal RNA, 253 nt
Filed under: uncultured bacterium
Lineage: Bacteria
Description: partial 16S ribosomal RNA
Rfam family: Bacterial small subunit ribosomal RNA
Source: RNAcentral
UACGUAGGCAGCAAGCGCUGUUCGGAGUUACUGGGCGUAAAGAGUAUGUAGGCGGUUGCGUAAGUUCGGUGUGAAAUCUCCCGGCUUAACUGGGAGGGUGCGCCGAAAACUGCGUGGCUUGAGUGCGGGAGAGGAGAGCGGAAUUCCUGGUGUAGCGGUGAAAUGCGUAGAUAUCAGGAGGAACAUCGGCGGUGUAGACGGCUCUCUGGACCGUUACUGACGCUGAGAUACGAAAGCGUGGGUAGCAAACAGG